Small nucleolar RNA from Zingiber officinale, 76 nucleotides. RefSeq annotates it as small nucleolar RNA Z199. The record is from RefSeq and is a predicted model, not a curated record. The transcript has a single exon. Lineage: Eukaryota; Viridiplantae; Streptophyta; Magnoliopsida; Zingiberales; Zingiberaceae.
GAAUCAAGUGACGAGAACAUUCUGCAACAAAAUGAUGAGUUAUUUCAUGAUUUUGGCUUAUAAGUCUCUGAUGAUA